Molecule: long non-coding RNA, 210 nt
Filed under: Nicotiana benthamiana
Lineage: Eukaryota; Viridiplantae; Streptophyta; Magnoliopsida; Solanales; Solanaceae
Description: long non-coding RNA (NBEN_LNC000539)
Source: RNAcentral
UCCCUUAUGCAACUUGCGUAGCCUCUUUUGUUGUUCGGCGUUGAGUUUUAGCAUGACCAAGUGCCCUACGUUGAACUCCAAGUGCCUCCUCUUCAUGUCGGCCCAUUUCUUCAUCUUCUUGGAGGCCUUGUCAAGGUAUGCACGAGCUAGGUCUGUUUGCUCGUGCCAAGUUUUCGCCGUCUUGAACGCCGCUGGACUCUUCCCCGUAUA